Molecule: unclassified non-coding RNA, 307 nt
Filed under: plant metagenome
Description: partial contains 5.8S ribosomal RNA, internal transcribed spacer 2, and large subunit ribosomal RNA
Rfam family: 5.8S ribosomal RNA (bases 1-105)
Source: RNAcentral
GAAAUGCGAUAAGUAGUGUGAAUUGCAGAAUUCAGUGAAUCAUCGAAUCUUUGAACGCACAUUGCGCCCCUCGGUAUUCCGUGGGGCAUGCCUGUUCGAGCGUCAUCUACACCCUCAAGCUCUGCUUGGUGUUGGGCGUCUGUCCCGCCUCCGCGCGCGGACUCGCCCCAAAUGCAUUGGCAGCGGUUCCUUGCCCCCCUCUUUGCGCAGUACAUUGCCAUUCGAGGCGGCGGCGGCCCGCGUCCAACAAGCUCAACCCCCCCGUCUUUGACCUCGGAUCAGGUAGGGAUACCCGCUGAACUUAAGC